This 116-nucleotide ribosomal RNA is filed under the name Pteropus alecto (black flying fox). Lineage: Eukaryota; Metazoa; Chordata; Mammalia; Chiroptera; Pteropodidae. RNAcentral also lists the same sequence under 1 other name. The record is from RNAcentral.
GUCUGUGGCUGUGCCACCUUGAACAAGCCUGAUGUCUGAUCUUGGAGGCUGAGCGGAGUCAGGCCUGGUUAGUACUUGGAUGGGAGACCACCUAAGAAGACCAGGUGCUGUAGGCA